UACGGGGGGGGCAAGCGUUGUUCGGAAUUACUGGGCGUAAAGGGUUCGUAGGUGGCCAACUAAGUCAGACGUGAAAUCCCUCAGCUUAACUGGGGAACUGCGUCUGAGACUGGAUGGCUUGAGUGCAGGAGAGGAACGCGGAAUUCCAGGUGUAGCGGUGAAAUGCGUAGAUAUUCGCAAGAACACCAGUGGCGAAGGCGGCUCACUGGCCCGGUACUGACGCUGAGGUGCGAAAGCGUGGGGAGCAAACAGG
This 253-nucleotide ribosomal RNA is filed under the name uncultured bacterium. RNAcentral's name for it is "partial 16S ribosomal RNA". It matches the Rfam family "Bacterial small subunit ribosomal RNA", at positions 524 to 776 of the family's 1533-position model. The record is from RNAcentral.